RNAcentral lists this long non-coding RNA (208 nucleotides) under Homo sapiens (human). RNAcentral describes it as "HSALNT0321981". Lineage: Eukaryota; Metazoa; Chordata; Mammalia; Primates; Hominidae. The record is from RNAcentral.
CGCGGGGUGCGGGGGAGCCUGGGAAUGGUGGGGUUCAGUUUGGGACUGGCAAUCCAGUGCAUAAAGGACACCCUAGAAGUCUCGUGUUGCACCUCGGGGGACCCUGCUGGGGCCCAAAAGCCAGAUGGCUGAAUAGGAACAGCUCCAAUCUGCAGCUCCCAGCGAGAUCGAUGCAGAAGGCAGGUGAUUUCUGCAUUUCCAACUGAGG